CACGGACUCAAGCGUUGUUAAACAUAAGUUAAGUGAAACACGGACCUAAGCGUGUUUCACAUCAUGUUAUGCAAGUUAAGUGAAACACGGACCCAAGCGUGUUUUACUCCAUGUUAUGCAAGUUAGGUGACACACGGACCCAAUCGUGUUUCACAUCAUGUUAUACAAGUUAAGUGAAACACGAACCCAAGCGUGUUU
Juglans microcarpa x Juglans regia is the source of this 198-nucleotide long non-coding RNA. RefSeq lists it as uncharacterized. The record is from RefSeq and is a predicted model, not a curated record. Lineage: Eukaryota; Viridiplantae; Streptophyta; Magnoliopsida; Fagales; Juglandaceae. The transcript is spliced from 2 exons.